This 201-nucleotide long non-coding RNA is filed under the name Bos taurus (domestic cattle). Its description in RNAcentral is "long non-coding RNA NONBTAT023895". Lineage: Eukaryota; Metazoa; Chordata; Mammalia; Artiodactyla; Bovidae. The record is from RNAcentral.
GAUCAAAAAGGAAGGAGAGUGGGAAAAUGAGGGAAGAGACUGGCCUUCCACCAACUACACGAUAAAGUUCCAAAUGACCAGGAGAGAAUACUGCAUAUUUUUUUUUCCUGAGGUUUUGUCCUUUACUGUAAGCAAACAACUCAUAAAUGCACUUUUGUAAAUCAGUGAAAAAUAGUAUAUGUGGUUCACAUUGAAGUUUCU